GAUGAAGAACGUAGCGAAAUGCGAUACGUAGUGUGAAUUGCAGAAUUCCGUGAACCAUCAAAUCUUUGAACGCAUAUUGCGCUCGAGGCUUCGGCCGAGAGCAUGUCUGCCUCAGCGUCGGUAUUACCCCUCGCUUCUCAACCCCUGGUUGAUGCCUGCCUGCCUUUGCAGUUGGCUAGAAGCGGAUCUGGCUUUCCCAAUUGCCUUUGGUAGUUGGGUCAGCUGAAGCACAGAGGCUUGAGCAAGGACCCUUAUUGGGCUUCAACUGGAUAGGUAGAACUGGUCUUAGGACCAACUACACGAAGUUGUUGCUUGUGGUCUUUUGUCUGGAGGCCAGCAGGAAACCCUUAUACCUUCGACCUGAGCUCAGGCAAGAUUACCCGCUGAACUUAAGCAUAUCAAUAAGCGGAGGA
This 413-nucleotide unclassified non-coding RNA is filed under the name soil metagenome. Its description in RNAcentral is "partial contains 5.8S ribosomal RNA, internal transcribed spacer 2, and large subunit ribosomal RNA". The stretch from base 1 to 120 matches the Rfam family "5.8S ribosomal RNA", at positions 35 to 154 of the family's 154-position model. The record is from RNAcentral.